AGGAAACAGAAAGGGUGAAAGAUGACUUGAAGCACUUCACCCCCUGCCUGUGUCUUUUGUCUAUGCUCUGUGGCAGCUGGAGUGAUUACACCUUCACUCGGUUUACAGUCACGACAAGAUUCACUUGCCACAUACUUACAGUUGUUUGCUGUAACAGGUCAUCCCCGCAAGACUUUUUCCACUCAGACUUUGAUGUGGGAUCCGUGCGUCGGCCACCGAGGCGCCUGUGAUGGAACACUGUGCCAAAUCGGACCUUAUCUCUUCUCAUCCUGUCAUCCAUUCAGCUAAACGUAAUCACAGAAGCCUCCA
This is a long non-coding RNA of Cyprinus carpio carpio, 309 nucleotides long. The record is from Ensembl. Lineage: Eukaryota; Metazoa; Chordata; Actinopteri; Cypriniformes; Cyprinidae.